GUCGAGAAUCUUUCACAAUGGGGGCAACCCUGAUGGAGCGACGCCGCGUGGAGGAUAAGGUCUUCGGAUUGUAAACUCCUGUCAUGCGUGAACAAGGUUGCUUGGUUAAUACCUGGGUAAAUUGAUGGUAACGCAAGAGGAAGAGACGGCUAACUCUGUGCAAGCAGCCGCGGUAAUACAGAGGUCUCAAGCGUUGUUCGGAAUCACUGGGCGUAAAGGGUGCGUAGGUGGCGUGGUAAGUCAGAUGUGAAAGCACGGGGCUCAACCUCGGAACUGCGUCCGAUACUGCCAUGCUAGAGUGCUGGGGAGGGGACUAGAAUACUCGGUGUAGCAGUGAAAUGCGUAGAUAUCGAGGGGAAUACCAGAGGCGUAGGCAGGUCACUGGACAGUUACUGACACUGAGGCACGAAGGCCAGGGGAGCGAACGGGAUUAGAUACCCCAGUAGUCC
RNAcentral lists this ribosomal RNA (449 nucleotides) under uncultured bacterium. RNAcentral describes it as "partial 16S ribosomal RNA". It matches the Rfam family "Bacterial small subunit ribosomal RNA", at positions 354 to 796 of the family's 1533-position model. The record is from RNAcentral.